RNAcentral lists this long non-coding RNA (1404 nucleotides) under Canis lupus familiaris (dog). Its description in RNAcentral is "lncRNA (ENSCAFG00040011121.1)". Lineage: Eukaryota; Metazoa; Chordata; Mammalia; Carnivora; Canidae. The record is from RNAcentral.
CUUUGUUCUCCGCCCGACGCGCCCGGGAUCGUGGGUCCUGCACGCGUGGGCCGCGGUGCCCCGCAUGCCCACGGCCCGCCCCCAAGGCGCGCAAAGCGGAAAGCGGGCCACAUAAAAGGGCUUUCGGGGUCUCGCGUGGACCGCGGGACCAGGCGGCCUCGAGGUGAACACUGGAAAAACAUGACUGAUUCUGUGCAACUUGGAAAAGGAAAAGUCAUCAGCAAGUCCCAUCCUUACCACACACAAAUACAUUACAGAGAGGGCCAAGCUGGAGGUGGUGUUGUUGACAGAAACAUUGUAAGCAGAGAAGGUGAAUCAAUCCAUGGAGUAUCCCUAUCACACUGGAUGAAGCUCAGAAUUGGCCUAAAGAAAGUGGAAGUGAGAAACACACAGGCCGGUCAGAGGCACACAGCUGCCUUCUCUCCCAGCUGACUUUGGGCAACCACACAAGGCAAAGCCAGAGGAACCAAGAAAGGUAUUAAUUGGCAUCUACUGAACCCCGAAGACCUUCACUAGCAUUAGUGGAGCGUCAAACAAGGAAUGAACUCACUAACCAGGAUGGCCAAAGUGGGAAGCAUGAAGAGAAGUGCAUUCUGAGACUUAUUUUAAAGGAGCCGGGGAGCAAGUGCCAAACCCUUCCGCACACGGGCUCUCACUGUCCCCCUCCCUGCUCCCGGAGGUGGCGAUUAUGUGUCCCUGCUUGGCUCAGGCCUGAAGCACACCCUGGCCGGGAGGCAGCUGGCACUGGCCCAGGCAUGAAUCCGUGCCUACCCCUCCGGGCCCCACUUCCAGCAGGUCACCCGGGUCUGUGUUGUCACCUUGAAACAUUCGAGAGAGUUGUGAGCUUCAGAAGGUGAGACGUGUGGGGCUGGGGGCAGGGCAGGCCAGCCCGGGAGGGUGGCUGGAGAGCUUUUGACAGCCCAGAGCAGAGCCCAGGGUCCUAUUCCUGACAACGUGAGCCCCCAGGCAGGCGCCGAGUGGAUAAGAGUGUAGACAGUGAGGCCGGCCGUGAUGCUUGCCAGCACCUGCAGAUAGCAGGCAAAUAAUUGGCACAUGUUUAAAAAAAAAUUAAAAAGCUAUUGGAUGUGAGUAUUUUCUAACAGCGUCUGGCGGGAGUGCCCGGGAGGAAUUUAAUCAGCAAGAGUUGUUUAAACGGGGCUUUGCACACAGGCCCUGGCGAGGCUCGUAAUGAACUCCGUAUCAUGUGCCACCCCUGUCUGCUGGGGACAUUCAAUUUGUUAAUUCUGCAGCUGGUGAGAGAGGUCAGAUAGGAAAGUGACGAUUGUUUUCUGACGUUCCAGCCCCUGCUCACAUCUUUCUAAUUAAUCCUUUUAGGAGCCACGGGUAGAUUAAGAAGGAGAAAAGGUGCAGGCAGCAAGCGUGAGAGAAAUUGAUGGGAAGACA